RNAcentral lists this ribosomal RNA (254 nucleotides) under uncultured bacterium. RNAcentral describes it as "partial 16S ribosomal RNA". It matches the Rfam family "Bacterial small subunit ribosomal RNA", at positions 524 to 776 of the family's 1533-position model. The record is from RNAcentral.
UACGAAGGGGGCUAGCGUUGCUCGGAAUCACUGGGCGUAAAGCGCGCGUAGGCGGGUCCUUAAGUCGGGGGUGAAAUCCUGGAGCUCAACUCCAGAACUGCCUCCGAUACUGAGGAUCUUGGAGUCCGGGAGAGGUGAGUGGAAUUGCGAGUGUAGAGGUGAAAGUCGUAGAUAUUCGCAAGAACACCAGUGGCGAAGGCGGCUCACUGGCCCGGUACUGACGCUGAGGUGCGAAAGCGUGGGGAGCAAACAGG